UUUUGCCCUGCCUCUCCCUUCAGAAGAAGAUUUGCCUAUAAAGUUAUUUUUAGAUGCCUUCUGAGCAAGUUUUGUGGGAAGACAAGCAGCCAGCAGCCCCCGGCGAGCUGCUGAGCCCACCCCUCUCAGCUUACAGCAUGUAAUUAGCAGAUAAUCAUGCCAAAAUCGCAGACUCCAACAGGCUAAUUUUAUCGCAUGUGCUGACAUCGAAAAUUCAAAACAGCUGGAAACUAAGGACUUCUUUGUGUGCGGCGUUUCCAGUCCCAGUCCCAGCAAGCCCAGAAAACCUGUGCUUUCCCGGCAGUGGAUGCGGCGGAGAGACCUGGUUGACGGGAUGGAGCCCGGCUCGGCUGUCGGAUGCGCCGGGGAGGUGCUUGUGUUUCUUCGUGGUUUUUUGGUGGGGGGCAGCCAGAUGUAGUGUUGGCUUUCUCAGAAAUAACAUAGCUGGUCUGUCG
RNAcentral lists this long non-coding RNA (455 nucleotides) under Calidris pugnax (ruff). RNAcentral's name for it is "lncRNA (ENSCPUG00000004151.1)". The record is from RNAcentral. Lineage: Eukaryota; Metazoa; Chordata; Aves; Charadriiformes; Scolopacidae.